UCUCGGUAGAGAAUCCAAUAUUCACCCUGACUUACUGAGGAUUCUAGUUUUUAAAGUAUGGGCAUGCAGGCAAGUGGCCAGAAUGUUAAAAUAAUGAGGGCUCAGUGGCUGCAAGUAUAAAGUAGGACAGCUAUGACUUUUUCAUAAAUUCACUGGCCUCACCUCUGAUGAACUGCUUUUAGGUAGCAUCACCCAGAUUGCCAUCUCAGAGGAGAGCAUGGAAGAGGCAGGGCUGGAAUGGAACUCAGCUCUCACUGCUGCUGUCACCAUGGCCACAGAGGAGGGCGUGAAGAAAGACACAAAGGAAAUUUCAGAAUUCUGUCUUCAUCUUUGGCUUUCAACAGUUUGAUGAUAAUACAAAGCUAAGAGAGGACAAAUGCCUCAAGAACAACCGAGAGAG
Long non-coding RNA from Choloepus didactylus (southern two-toed sloth), 400 nucleotides. RefSeq lists it as uncharacterized. NCBI's taxonomy places the organism in Eukaryota, Metazoa, Chordata, Mammalia, Pilosa, Megalonychidae. The transcript is spliced from 3 exons. The record is from RefSeq and is a predicted model, not a curated record.